GUUCGGACUCCGCGUCCCAGCAUUCCCCGCGCGCGCUCUGGAGCACUUCCGCCCUGUUGUGAAGUGGGUGUCUCGGUGGAACCUGGGGGAGCAUUUCCCCUCCUAGGAGCCCCUCGAAGGACACACUCCAGAUGCAGGAAGACGUUGGACCAGGACGUCCCAGCUGAAGGGAGGCGUCCGGGAGAGACCAUGGCUGUAUCCCUGGAAUGCCAGGCCCAGGUCUCUCCCCGGCCAGAGCCUGAAGAACUCCUGAUUGUGAAGCUGGAGGACGAUGCGUGGAGAUCAGAAUCUCAGCCCCGGGAGAAGGGUCAUGAGCCUGUCCCCGGCCCCGAGGCCUCCCGCCAGCGCUUCAGGCAGUUCCAGUACAGGGAUGCGGCAGGACCCCAUGAGGCCUUCAGCCAACUCUGGGCACUCUGCUGUCACUGGCUGAGGCCAGAGAUACGCCUUAAAGAACAGAUUCUGGAGCUGCUGGUGCUGGAGCAGUUCCUGACCAUCUUACCCCGGGAGGUCCAGGCCUGGGUACAGGCACGCCACCCCGAGAGUGGAGAGGAGGCGGUGGCCCUGGUGGAGGAUUGGCAGCGAGAGGCCCGGGCUGCAGGGCAGCGGGAACUGGAGUUGUGUGCAGAAGAGACCAGGUCCUUAAAGGCAAUGAAGGAAUCUCAGAGCUUCCAGCUGGAGCCAGCAGAUCACUGGCCAGAGGGACAGUCCCAGAAGCAGUGGGUGAAGAAUCCAUAUCUUGACCUUCCUGAACAUCUAGACACCAAGAUGGCACCACAGCCCUUGAAAGAGAGUGCUGUCCUCACUCCCCGAGUCCCUGCUCUCCCAAAGAUGGGGAGUGUUGGAGAUUGGGAGGUGACAGCUGAGUCCCAGGAAGCCCUGGGCCCUGGCAGACACACGGAGAAGGAGUUCUGCAAGGACCCCGCCGGAGACAACUAUGGGAACGGCGUGUCCCUGGGAGUUCCAGUUUCAAAACCGAACAUCCUGUCCCGGAGAGAGCAAGGACCAGAAUUUUGGGGUCCAAGGCUUAUAAAUUCUGGAAAAAGGAUCCCUGCAGAUUAUAGCUUGGAUCCUGAGCAAACAAAGCCAGCUCAGGCAGUGGCCUGGAGGGACUCCAGGGCCUGGGAAGAAUGCCACCGGUGGGACGUGGAGGACGUGAAGGUGUCAGGUGUACACUGGAGCUACGAGGAGACUAAGACUUUCCUGGCAAUUUUAAGUGAGUCUCCUUUCUCUGAAAAACUCCGGACUUGUCACCAGAACCGCCAGGUGUACCGGGCCAUUGCGGAGCGGCUGAGGGCACGGGGCUUCCUGCGGACCCUGGAGCAGUGUCGCUACAGAGUCAAAAACCUCCUCCGAAAUUACCGGAAAGCCAAGAGCAGCCACCCACCUGGGACCUGCCCCUUCUAUGAGGAGCUGGAGGCCCUGGUGAGGGCUCGGACAGCCAUCAGAGCCUCAGACGGCCCAGGAGAGGCUGUGGCUCUCCCCAGGCUGGGGGAUAGUGACGUGGAGGUGGAUGAGCAGGAGGAAGGGAGCUGGGAGCCUGAGGAAGCAGCUGAAGACUGUAAUGGUGAUGACCUGGCCACUGAGGAGUCCAUCCAGGGGCCGAGGAUUCCAGGGGGCCCAGCUCUAUUCCAGAGUCGUAUUGCAGGUGUGCACUGGGGCUACGAGGAGACCAAGGCCUUCCUGACCAUUCUCAGUGAGUCCCCAUUCUCUGAGAAGCUGCGCACCUGUCACCAGAACAGCCAGGUGUACCGGGCCAUUGCAGAGCGGCUGUGUGCACAGGGCUUCCUGCGGACACUGGAGCAGUGUCGCUACAGAUUCAAAAACCUCCUUCGAAGCUACAGAAAAGCCAAGAGCAGCCACCCCCCAGGGACCUGCCCCUUCUAUGAGGAGCUGGACUCGCUGAUGAGGGCUCGGACUGCAGUUAGAGACACAGGGACUGGCAAAGAGGCCGUGGGUCUCCCUACUUCUGGGCAGAGCAGUACCGAGGCUGGCCACCAGGAGACCUGGGGUGAGAUGGCAGAUGAAGAUGCCAUCAGACCUCCAACCCCCAGUCCUAAAACCCCAGACACUGGUUUUGAGAUGAGGCAUGAUGAUGAAGACCAGAUUUCAGAGCAGGACAUUUUUGAAGACUUGUCUGGAGCCUUAUCAAAAUGUACUGCAGAGGAUGAUUGCUGCCCUCACGAUUGGGAGGAAGACAGUGAAAAUGAAAAUGAAGGUAAAGGGCAGUGGGGAAAUCCAUCCCGGGCACAGUGGGAAGAAUGUUGUUCUGAAGAGGACCUAGAAAAACUCAUCGACCAUCAAGGCCUGUACCUUGUAGAGAAACCCUACAGGUGUGACACGUGUGUGAAAAGCUUCAGUCGGAACUCGCAGUUAAUCGCCCACCAGCGGAUACACACAGGUGAGAAGCCCUACAAAUGCCUUGAAUGUGGGAAGAGCUUUAGUGACCGCUCCAACUUCAAUACCCAUCAGAGGAUCCACACUGGAGAGAAGCCCUACAAAUGCCCCGAAUGUGGGAAGAGCUUUAGCGACCACUCCAACCUCAUUACCCACCAGAGGACACACACACGGGUAAAGCCCUAUAAAUGUGGAGAAUGUUGGGAAAGCUUCACCCAGAGCUCAAACCUUCUGAAACAUCAGCGGGUCCACUUGGGAGGAAAUCCUGACCACUGUAGUGAGCCUGGGGAAAACUCUGGCCAAAGCCCAUCCUUUAGUGCUCCCUGGAGGAACUCGACAGAGGAGACAUCUCCGGAACAACCUCAAAGUGCCAGUAAGAACUUGAAUUCUCCUGGACCGCAAAGCACCAACUCAGGGGAGAAAGUUUAUCAGUGUUCUGAAUGUGGAAGAAGCUUCUCUAAGAGCUCUGCCCUCAUCAGUCACCAAAGAAUCCAUACGGGAGAGAAACCCUACGAAUGUGCCGAGUGUGGGAAAAGCUUCAGUAAGAGCUCCACUCUUGCCAACCACCAGCGAACCCAUACCGGGGAGAAGCCGUACGAGUGCGCGGACUGUGGGAAAUGCUUCGGGGAGCGCUCCAAGCUCAUCACCCACCAGAGGGUGCACACGGGGGAGAAGCCCUACAAGUGCCCCGAGUGUGGGAAGUUCUUCCGUGACCGUUCCAACCUCAUUACCCACCAGAGGAUUCACACAGGAGAGAAGCCUUAUAAGUGCAGGGAGUGUGGGAAAUGCUUUAACCAGAGCUCCAGUCUUAUUAUUCACCAGAGAAUCCACACUGGGGAGAAACCCUACAAGUGUACGGAGUGCGGCAAAGAUUUCAACAACAGCUCCCACUUCAGCGCCCACAGGAGAACCCAUGCAGGAGGAAAGGCCUCGUAGGAGAUGCCUCCCCCCACAGCAAAAGAGAGAAACUCAGAUUUAAAUCUCCCAAGAUCCGAAGACGUACGCUAGAAAGAAGCUGUCCCAAUUUGUGAGCUUGAUGUGUACCCGGGAUGUUAUCUUGGUGUAACCCAGGAAAAUCCCUCUCCUGACGCCCGCCAUGAUGCUGGGAUGCCAUUCAUAGCCUGGCUGUCUCAUGAACUCAGGAGGCACCUAGUAGGCAGUAGAUGUGGUGGCACCUUAGAGAAUGGAACUUCCUGGUCGCAUGUGAGGAAGUGAGUGGAGAUUUGCACUCCCACAGAAGGUGAUCACUCCUUAGCCCCUCCCUCUGCUUCCCAGGAACCAGCUCCCUUGGGAUCACUGCCUGUCACCUGCUCACCUUUCCUGGCUCACAUUGUCUCUGAGGAGCAGGGGUGGUGGGUGAGCCCUGGGUUCGAACCAGCAGAUGUCAGUAACUGCAACAAUAAGAUGAUGGGGAGGUACCAUGUGAGCCAAGAGGAAGGAACCUGAGGGAGGGGACGGUAGGUCCAGGGAAAGGCACAGUGGUGUGGAAGAGCAUGGAUUCAGGGUCAAGGCGGGGCUGUAGCCUCCUAGUACUAUUUGGGUGUCAAGUGGGCGGUCGGGAGUAGUAGGAGCUGAGGUUGGAGGGGUGCUGGGGCAGGGUCACCGAGGACCUCGUGGCUGAGGAGGGUGUGGUCACAUGUGCAUUGUUGAAAUCUAAUUGCUGAAGGCAACGUGGAUGUACUGCACUUAGGACGACCUGUUGGGGCACUGCUGCAGUAUUCCAGCUAAGAGCGCGGGUCUGGACUAGCGCCGUGGUUACGCUGAAGAGGAGGGGAGGAUUCGAGGGGCUUCACUGGCAGCACUGAGGACAGCAGGCGCAAGCUGGAGGCCCUGGGUGGCUGCUGGAGCCUGCCGUCGUUCAGGACUGGGGCCAUGAGGAGGAGGUGCAAGGAAGGCAGGAGGGCAGGAGAGAAGUUUAACUGGGGACAUUUUGAACUUGAGGUGCCUUAGGGAUAUCCAAGAGGAGACAUGCAGCAGGCAUUUGGCUAUCUGGGCCUGAAGCUGAGGGAGGUUAGGACUGGAGAGUUGUCUGCAUGCAUGGCUAUUAAAUUCAUGAGGAGGGCAGGAUGUUCAAGUUCAAGUCAUCGAAAUAUUGGGCCCGGGACAGAACUUGAGAAGCAGCACGUGUAGAGGAAGAUGCCCCUCGCAGGAGAUGUAGACCACUCCCCAGUCGCACGCCCCUGCACGCUCCAGUCAGCUUUUGGACACUGCCUCAGUGGCUGCUGACAUCUGAAUUCUGAAUGUAGUCCUGGAUUUUCUGGAACCUUCCCUGUGGAAGCCAAGCUGAGCUGUGUGUAGAAGCGAGAUUGUAGCCCUCUCCCCAGCUCAAGUGUCACCCGUUCCCCGCCUCUUGGAAGUGUACUAGUGUCUCAUGUUCUCAGCUGAACAGUUUUGAGGUUUAUUCCUCCCAUCUCAUAACUAGUGACUGUAGGUUCAGCCGUAAGAUGGAGGGCAGUGUGGGCCUGGGGAGAAAACAGCCCAGCAGGACCUUCUCUCCUUGUGGACCUGACGCUUCCUUCGAUGGCUUCCAUGCCUGGGGCCCGGCCCAUCACUGUGCUGGGGCACCCAGACAGCCUCCCGCAGAUCUCUGCUGCUCGAGUACACUGACAUCUGGCUUUACACGUCCUGAGCUUUGUUACGGUGAGUCUGCCCUUGGGAAGUAGGUCCACUCUGCAGGACGGGCAGUUUCUCAGCCUGCAUGGCCACGGGUCAGACCCUGGUCACGGGAGACGGAAGCAGUGAAUGCUGCCCGGAGAAGGUGUUAUGUGUGAGCUGCAUCCCCUCCCUUGAUUUCUGUACCCUCCACCCGGGGAGGGCGUUGACUCCUCAGAGGUGACUGAAAGGCACCACAAACACUCAUUCCAUGGACUCAUCAGCAGGCAGCAGACCAAAGCUAGGGGCAGGGAAAGGUGGGCCAGGCCACUUGACAUACCCAGUUUUUUUCUUCGGCCUUGGCCCCAGCAGCUGAAGGCAUGGUCACGGCUGCCUCAGCCUUAGUGUCCCCACAGCCCCCAUCUGCAGGAGCCUAAGGUAACCAGGGCCCUGCCUGUGCUGGAAAUUGUAGCCUCUGGGACCAUGGAUCCCUGGGUUCGCCUCAUCCUGGUCUAGGACCCCUGGUCGGGAUAGCCCUCCACCUUCAGGCUGCAGAAAAGGGUGCAUCUAUAGUCACUUUGUGGAGACGAAUAACACCGUUUGGGGGCAGGGACGCAGAGGUUUUGAAGUAGCGAGUGUGGUGAUGUCUGGAGUGGGUGUGGGUGGCAGGUGGUCUCGCGUCUCCCAGGACUCCCUGGGUCUCUACCCCAGAUUGGGUCCCAGGCCUGCUUCUCUGUUCGCUUCGUUCACUCUGUUCUGUUUGCAUUUUUUUCUGCUGUGUAUGUGCUGAUAACUCCCAGGCUGCCUGCUGGCCAGUCCUACUUGGGUCACUCUGGACCCCUCCAGCCCCACACCCACCUGCUGCCGUCUCCGGCCCCCUGGCCCACCUGCUCAGCCCGUGCAUUUACGUGCACACUCGGUGGCCCACAGAAGCCUCCACACAUCUCCAGUGAGGCGUACAUGCUUGGACUUGGAACAGACGCAGUCCUCCAGACGUGUUCCCCCUUCUAAGGGCAUUUUCCAGCUAGGCUGUGAUUGCCCAGUGGCCUGGGAAGUCCUUUCCUGAACAGACUCAGUCGGAAUUCACCCAGUGAAACAUCCCAUUACCUCAAUUGAAACCACCCUCGCUUUGGACGUCCCUCAGCCCCCACCUCUUAGCAGCAAACACCCUCUUAGGCCCCUGCCCCAGUCUGUUGCUGGAGGUUAGUGCUACCGAUAGUGGGAGGUCUGGAAGGCAGGAGAGGUGGGGCUCAGGCCGGGCCUUGGGGUCUGGGUGACAGACGUUUUAUGCUUCUUUCCUUGGCCCUUGGCUGGUUCUCUCUGCGCACCCCCAACACCAGUAUUACCCCGAGUGUGCCUUUAACACCACUCCCCUCACUCUGCGUUGAGGCAAAUCUGGAAUCACCUCCAAAUGCAAUUUUCGGAGGGUCAGGUUUCUCACCCCACUGUCCCUUCCGCUAGCCCACACUGCGGCAGAACAAUGACCUCUGCUCGUCCCCGGCAGGUGCCUCGCUCACCUGGUCCCGUCAGGAGCCCCAGUGACCCGAUCCUGUGCUACUGGGAGGGAGAGGCAGAGCUCCUCUUCUCUCUGUAUGCGGUCAGCCCUCCCAUGUCUCAAGGCUCAGAGCCCCUUUGCUCUAAGAGCCACGUGGUUAAGUCCAGGCCAGAACCCAAUUAAGCAUUUGGCCUACACUCACUAGAAUAGGGAUCCACGUAGACAGCGAAUUUCUAAUCAGGGUGUGGCUAGUGGUUCUCCUGGCAUGUGAGGAUGAUUCUGAUCCUGUCUGCCAUUCCAUCAUACUUCUUUCCAAAGUCACAUUUAUUUUUCACAUUUUCAUCAUCAUUUCAUUAUUUCAGUCCAUAACCUUGCCAUCAAGAGGGUGAGGGUCCUGGGAAGGAAGACAAAGAAAAUGAGUCUACCUCAUGGGCUGGUUCUGGACCAGCAUUACGGGUCCAUCCGAGCGCCAGCAGGAGAGGAGCCACAGGCGGGGGCUGAUAGAGCUGUGGGCACUGAAGUCGCUGGGGCUGAGGGAGCCCCACUUUGGUACCAGGUGACAAACGUGACACAGAGAGGAAAGGGCUCUUCUCCCUUCUUCCACACAGGGCACGGCUUGGCUUUCAUGCUUUGGGGAAUUCGUGGACCACAGAGGAGCUCCUGCGCAUUUAGAGGCAGUGGAGACCAGCAGGUGGGGUGUCAAGGGGUUGCCUUGGGGGCCGUGGUGGCAGGCAGACUUCAUUCACCCCGGGGGCCAGGCUGGGAGAACCUUCUACAACCAGCGCCUGGUGAGGGCUUGGUCAUGAUCACAUACAAAGUCCCCGACCGACCCAACCCCACUCCUGAAGUUUCCCAGAAAUAGAUGGAGGUGGGGAGGCUACCUGGGCUCAAGGUCACGUUAAACCCACCUGGCACGUCCUGGGAAGGGGGAGGGAAAACAGGUGUUAUCUCAGGGAACUUUCUUGAGCAACUGAUUUUCAUGGAAAACAGGCAUUUGUGAUUGAUUUUUGUCUUAGUGACUGUGGAAUUAAAAUGGAUUAAAUUUUGGCCCCUAGGAGGCUCAGAGAUUUAAGGUCCAAAUCUAGAAACAGAACUGGCUCUUUUGAUUUGCAAUUUGUGCAUCCACCCCACCUUCAUUUUAUUUGACUAUGUUUUCACUUCUCCAUCCUUUAUUAUUUCUUCUUCCUAUGAGAUUUUGUAUCUCUUAACACUAGUCAGAUCCUAUUUUGGAAUGAAGUGGCUUGAUAAAUUAAUAAAUUAUACAAAUUGAACGGCAAAAAAAGGAACUUGUUUUGGGUUCUUCUGGCAUCUUCCUGGUUACACCAAAAGCACGGAGGAAAGGAGGAGGGGAAAAGUGAGGGGGACACAGUGAGGCUGUCGGGGAGGCUUGGGGCUCAAGAUCUCAUGCCCCUUGUGUUGGACUGGCAUCUUCCUUUCAUGUUCUCUAUGGCUCUUCAGACAUGAGUGGAUAUUGCAACCCAGAGUCAUUGCCUUUUGUCUAUAACAGGUGGUUCCUCAGUCUGCUGGCCUUCCUCACACAUCUUUGCUUUGAUGUGUCCCCCAGGAUCUCUGUGCUAGGGAAUCUGAGGUAUCUGGGACCUAAAUAACAUAAGGAUGAAAGGAUGAAAAGAAAAGGUGUUCCCAGGGGGCUGAAUCCUACCUGACUCUUCCGAUCUGCUUCCCAGUCCGGGAGGAGAGCUGAUACACUUUGUGCUGGAGAAGGAGGUGAGUGCUGGAGGGUUUUUAUGGGAAUUCUUUCCCCUCCUUCCUCCACCCACUCCCCUUCUGGUAACAUUCAGAAGACACUGUAGCUCAAGGUUGAGGUCUCCUUUAGAAACUUUUGCUCUUUCAUCCUUGUUGAAUGGGUUAUAGGCAACUUUGCCUUUUAGACUCUGAUAUCCUUGAAUUCUGAUUAUGAGUUAGAGAAAGAGUGAUAUUUCAGAGUUUGAUGUGACUUUGAUCAGAAGCUACAGGAAACUGUUUCUUCCUGUAGGAGUCAGAAUCUUAAGUAGAAGUUUAGUCACGGUUGGACUGAGUGUACUGAUGCUCUGUUCAUCUUGGGACAAAGAUGAGAUCUGGGAGAAAAUGAGUCAUGGUCUCCCUGAAGGAGAAGUUCCAGCUCUCGCUUACAUGUUUUCAUGUAACUCCUAUCUAGCAGUUGCUCCAACAGUGAGCAGAUCCACAGGGCUUGCUUUCCUGGGACAGAGGCCACAGACAACUCAUUGUCAUUCUCUUGCUGUUAGCAGGGCCCAGAGGUCAGUUUCGAGCAUAGGGUCCACCAAGCCUGACCAGCUGGAACAGGAACCCUUUAAUCAGUUUCGACAAAGAGGCAGCCAGUGCCAGCGUUACCGAGAAUGUAACACUAGGAGAGAAUCCUCACCUGCAGGAGAUGCCUAUGCACUGGGCCGGCUCUCUGCUGGCCCCACGUCCACAGGCUGCUGGGUGCUCCUGUUGCCAGAAGUUCUGGGCUGAACCAGGAAUCCAAACAGCAGGGCACCUGGUCCCCAGCUAGGCAGUGGGAGUCACCAGGUAAGAGCCUGACAUCCUUGGGGAAGAGGAGGUGUGUAGGAUCCAGUAGUUUCAGGGCUCAGGCAGCUUGAGGAAGGGGCCAGGUCAGGGUCAAAGGAAGGACUGAGAGCCGAGAGGGGAGCGAGUCGGAAGGAAAGGGAGCAUAUGGGGAGGGCAGAGAGGCAGAAAGGGGAGAGGAGCAAAGGGGCAGGCUGAGGAGGAGGCAACCAAGUUUGGGAGAGAGGAAGGGCAAGAGGAAAAACUCGGGGUUGGCUGUCCUGUGUGUCCCUGAGUGAGGUAGGGGGUGGGGCAGGUGGAACAGAAGAGGGGAGAGAAGGCAUUGGAGCAGGAAGAGGGGGAGGGAAGUGGGGAAACAGAGGCGGCUCCUUUAUGGUUCCCAAGUUAGAAAUGGAGGGCUGGGCCGCUUGGGCCAGUACUCUGCACCCUCCCCCUCUUCCAUUCUCCCAUGAUCCAGACUCCAUAGUAACCAAGACCAGGAACCCUGGGCUGCACUGUCCUGUAUGGUGGCCACCCAGCUACAAGUGCCAUUGAGCCCUCUAAAGGUGACUAAGUCUGAGCUGAGAUGUGUUGAGAUGUGUAAUAUAUACACCAGAUUUUGAGCAAUUCUAUGAAUAAAAGUGUAAACUAUCUCAAUACUUUUAUUUUGGUUACAUCUUGAAAUGAUAAUUUUUAGGAUAUAUUGGGUUAAAUAAAGUAUAUUAGUAAAAUUAAUUUCACCAUUUCUUUUUGCUUUCAUAACGUGGCUCCAUCCAGUCAGUACGCAUGCAGCUUGCAUUCGUGGCUUGCAUUGUAUUUCUGUCAGACAGCACGGCCCUAGGGCAUUUGAACUAGAAAAGCCGUCCCUGGAAGUCUCAUUUUAUAGAUGAGGGAAUUCAGUCCCAGAGGCUUGUUUGUGGUCACCAGAAACACACAGCAGCUCUUGGACGAGGAUCCAGGUCUGUUGAUCCCCGCUGGUGCAGGGCCUUCUCCUUGGCUCAAGCUAGUCAGACAUGGCCAGGCCUGUGCCCAGGCAUGAGGUUGCCCCCUGCGUGUUGCAUGAGAAACAUGAAAGGCAGACCCGUUGCCCCCACAUCUACCUCUUUUGCAAGCCUGGAACCUUAAGUGGCCCCAUUAUUGCUCUUGUUGGGAAGGCCACUGAAUGAUGGGCCGUGUGCUCCAGAUAAAAACAGCAAUAAACCUGACCUCCCCAGCGGGCAGAAACUGAGCAUAGCUGAGUCUGGGGGCUGGGGACUGGGAAGAAGCUUCUGAAGAUGAAAUAAACUGAAGGAGAGAAGUUAAAAGUCACAAUUUCAGCCUGUAUGUCACAUCUCAGUUUUCAAAAUCUUUUCAGAGUUUAUCCCAUUGAAACCUACUCAUGGGAAGAUUUCGAGGGAAAAUGUUACACCCUUUUUCCAGGUAAGGAAACUGAAACUCAGCACAGGACCUUGUCCAGAAGUCCCCAGUCCAAAGAGCAAACACCCAGCACAGCAGAUGCCUUUCAGUCAGGCUCCCCGCUGUUGCUUCAGUACUCCUUCCACUUGGUAGCCAAGAGCCAGAUGGCUAGGGUACCAGGCAGUAAAAGGAAGGCUGCUGGCCACUAGUGUGUGCUGUGCCCACUGUCUUGGCCCCAGGAAGGAAAAAGAAAGAAUCGUGGGUA
Molecule: non-coding RNA, 10646 nt
Organism: Vicugna pacos (alpaca)
Lineage: Eukaryota; Metazoa; Chordata; Mammalia; Artiodactyla; Camelidae
Source: RefSeq, a predicted model, not a curated record